GAUGAAGAACGUAGCGAAAUGCGAUACUUGGUGUGAAUUGCAGAAUCCCGUGAACCAUCGAGUCUUUGAACGCAAGUUGCGCCCGAAGCCACUAGGCCGAGGGCACGCCUGCCUGGGCGUCACACGCCGUUGCCCCCCCAUCUACUCCUUCGGGAUUGCGGGGGGGCGGAUGAUGGCCUCCCGUGCGCCUAGCCGCGCGGUUGGCAUAAAUACCAAGUCCUCGGCGACGCACGCCACGACAAUCGGUGGUUGCGAAACCUCGGUUGCCCGUCGUGUGCGUUCGUCGCGCAUCGAGGGCUCGAAAAAAUGCUCGGCUCCGGCUGGGCUUUCAACGCGACCCCAGGUCAGGCGGGGUUACCCGCUGAAUUUAAGCAUAUCAUAAGCGGAGGA
This 390-nucleotide unclassified non-coding RNA is filed under the name soil metagenome. RNAcentral describes it as "partial contains 5.8S ribosomal RNA, internal transcribed spacer 2, and large subunit ribosomal RNA". The stretch from base 1 to 122 matches the Rfam family "5.8S ribosomal RNA", at positions 35 to 154 of the family's 154-position model. The record is from RNAcentral.